UAUGACGUAUUAAAAAAACUACUUACUAGAUCUCGUUCAAACCAAUUUUCGGUGGAAGUUUGCAUGGUAAUGUACAUCAUAUAUUUUUUUUAGUUUUAUCAUUCUCUUAUUUUAGAAGUUACAGGGGGGGACCUAUCCAUAGAUACCCCACACGUAUAGGUUUGAUGAAAAAAAAAUUUUGAGUUUCAGUUCUAAGUAUAGGGAACCCCAAAAAUUUAUUGUUUUUUUUCUAUUUUUGUGUGAAAAUCUUAAUGCGGUUCACAGAAUACAUCUAAUUACCAAGUUUCAACAGUAUAGUUCUUAUAGUUUCGGAGAAAAGUGACUGUGACAUACACGGACAGACGGACAGACAGACAGACAGACAUGACGAAUCUAUAAGGGUUCCGUUUUUUGCCAUUUGGCUACGAAACCCUAAAAAAAAACAGAUA
Cydia amplana is the source of this 428-nucleotide long non-coding RNA. RefSeq lists it as uncharacterized. Lineage: Eukaryota; Metazoa; Arthropoda; Insecta; Lepidoptera; Tortricidae. The record is from RefSeq and is a predicted model, not a curated record. The transcript is spliced from 2 exons.